UCUCUAUAUGGUAAGCGGGAUAUUCUUUUGCCCGCUUAUUCCACUUCUCGUUCAUAUUCUUUUUUCUUUCAAGGAUUACAUUAAUUACCAUGUGAGAAAUGAAACUAGCAGUAAUCAAGUUUUUAUGCGGAUACGGAGAUUGCUCACUUGUAUUAUCCUACACCCAGGUGGCCACCAUCAUCUUAGUCACCAAGAUCCAAGCCCUCACUAGUGAGGCGUACGCGAUAAGAGACAUGGGCAUCAGGGACGAAAACAUCAAUAACUGCGGGUCUUUCUUUGCCAUUGGCGAAACCUUUUCGGACACCACCAACUCGACGCUAUACGCGCUCGAGCGCCUCACUGCCGCCGGAGAAGGUAAACGCAGUAAGGAGGACCUGGAAACUGUGCACAA
This 391-nucleotide long non-coding RNA is filed under the name Oryza sativa (Asian cultivated rice). RNAcentral describes it as "long non-coding RNA (OSAT_LNC001473)". Lineage: Eukaryota; Viridiplantae; Streptophyta; Magnoliopsida; Poales; Poaceae. The record is from RNAcentral.